AUGAAUACUAGUCGUGGGGGUCAUAGCCUCGGUGACGCAGCAAACGCAAUAAGUAUUCCACCUGGGAGUACGUCGCAAGAAUGAUACUCAAAGGAAUUGACGGGACCCGCACAAGCGGUGAGCAUGUGGUUUAAUUCGAAGCAACGCGAAGAACCUACGUGCUCUGACAUCCCCCUGACCGGCGUGUAAUGGCGCUUCUCUUCGGAGCAGGGGAGACAGGUGGUGCAUGGUGUCGUCAGCUCGUGUCGUGAGAUGUUGGGUUAAGUCCCGCAACGAGCGCAACCGUUGUUGUUAGUAGCCAGCGGUCAGGCCGGGCACUCUAACGAGACUGCCGGGGUAACCCGGAGGAAGGUGGGGAUGACGUCAAAUCAUCAUGCCCCUUACGAGCAGGGCUACACACGUGCUACAAUGGCGUAAACAAAGAGAGGCGAGACGGUGACGUUAAGCAAAUCUCAAAAAUAACGUCUCAGUUCGGAUUGUAGUCUGCAACUCGACUACAUGAAGCUGGAAUCGCUAGUAAUCGCGAAUCAGAAUGUCGCGGUGAAUACGUUCCCGGGUCUUGUACACACCGCCCGUCACACCAUGGAAGUCGGUAACGCCCGAAGUCAGUGACCCAACCGCAAGGAGGGAGCUGCCGAAGGCGGGACUGGUAACUGGGGUGAAGUCGUAACAAGGUAACCUA
Molecule: ribosomal RNA, 682 nt
Filed under: uncultured bacterium
Lineage: Bacteria
Description: bacterial SSU rRNA
Rfam family: Bacterial small subunit ribosomal RNA
Source: RNAcentral